Vitis riparia (riverbank grape) is the source of this 1032-nucleotide long non-coding RNA. RefSeq lists it as uncharacterized. The record is from RefSeq and is a predicted model, not a curated record. NCBI's taxonomy places the organism in Eukaryota, Viridiplantae, Streptophyta, Magnoliopsida, Vitales, Vitaceae. The transcript has 2 exons.
GCUCUCUCAGAGCCAAGUUCAAAACCCUAGUUCUAACUUUUCUUGAGUUUUACACACUUUUCUUUUAAGAAUUUACUCUGUUUUUUCAACAAUGAAUUCUCUCGGAAAAACUCAUUUUGAGUUCUUGAAAACUACUUUUAUUGGUUUUUUCCUAUACAAAAGAUUUUUUGCAUAUACGAUGUUCUCUUUUUCUAGAUCUUCCGUUCUUUCUUUUAAUUUUCAUGAGUUUUCUCGGCAGCCAAACAACUGCUGUUAUAUGUUUUCUUCAUGAUAUCUCCGUCUUCUUUAGAUUUGGUUGUUUUUUCAUAUACGCUGCUCUCUUUUUCAAGGGAGAAAAAGCAUGCUCAUGUUCCACUGCUUGAGAUCGCUGACUACUCUGCUUUUUCAAAUGACGAAACGACAUCUGCGGUUGCUUUUCAUUAUAAUUGUGUUCUCGGCGUUCAUCACCUUGCAAGCUUCGGCUAUUACAGAUCCACGAGAUGGUAACUCCACUCUUUUUGUUCUUGAUUGUCUUAUCUUCUUUUGAUUUUAUUUAUUUAUUUAUUUUUAUUUUUUUGCUGUCUGAGAGAUUGAUUCUUGAUUGCUAAAAGAAAUAAUUUAACCAGGUUCAGCUUUUAUGGAUCAGGAAAAUGGUACUCGCAUAUUUAGUCUUGAUUUUUUUCUUGUCAUUUUUCUCUAGAAAAUUGACAUCAUCUGCACCAUAAGAUGAUUGCCAGUUAUUGUGGGGGCUUCGUUACAACCGUUUGACCUCCAAGAAAAUUUCUGGGAUCUGAAAAAGCAAGACAUCCACCUAAUUGAACCUAACGGAAAUAUUUCGCAGGUUGAGUUUAGUUUUUUAUUUAUCCAAAAACAAAAGUAACAUAGAUUACAUGGUUCAGAAUUCUAUUUUCUUUUCUUCUUUCUUUUCCUCGGUUUUCUUUGCCAGCAAUGGGUUAGCAAAGAUUCGUCUGUUCUUUUUAAUGGUUUGGUGGAAAAAAUAACAGAAUGGAUCUUGACUCCUAAUUAGUUAAUAUUUUGGGCAGCUAUACGGUA